This 460-nucleotide ribosomal RNA is filed under the name uncultured bacterium. Its description in RNAcentral is "partial 16S ribosomal RNA". It matches the Rfam family "Bacterial small subunit ribosomal RNA", at positions 338 to 795 of the family's 1533-position model. The record is from RNAcentral.
CCUACGGGAGGCAGCAGUGAGGAAUAUUGGUCAAUGGGCGAGAGCCUGAACCAGCCAAGUCGCGUGAAGGAUGAAGGUUCUAUGGUUUGUAAACUUCUUUUAUAUGGGAAUUAAGUGAGGAACGUGUUCCUUUUUGUAUGUACCAUAUGAAUCAGCAUCGGCUAACUCCGUGCCAGCAGCCGCGGUAAUACGGAGGAUGCGAGCGUUAUCCGGAUUUAUUGGGUUUAAAGGGUGCGUAGGUGGUUUAUUAAGUCAGCGGUGAAAGUUUGUGGCUCAACCAUAAAAUUGCCGUUGAUACUGGUUGACUUGAGUAUAUGUGAGGUAGGCGGAAUGCGUGGUGUAGGGGUGAAAUGCAUAGAGAUCACGAAGAACUCCGAUUGCGAAGGCAGCUUACUAGACUAUAACUGACACUGAUGCACGAAAGCGUGGGGAGCAAACAGGAUUAGAUACCCGGGUAGUC